RNAcentral lists this ribosomal RNA (819 nucleotides) under uncultured eukaryote. RNAcentral describes it as "SSU rRNA". It matches the Rfam family "Eukaryotic small subunit ribosomal RNA", at positions 629 to 1426 of the family's 1831-position model. The record is from RNAcentral.
CGGUGUUUAACUGGCGUGAUGUGGGACGUCCUACCGGUGGGCUUAGCCUCGCGAGGGGCGGCCCAACUAAUAUCCCGUCGCGGUGCUCUUUACUGAGUGUCGAGUCGGGCCGGUACGUUUACUUUGAACAAAUUAGAGUGCUUAAAGCAGGCUAUCCUCGCCUGAAUACUGCGUGCAUGGAAUAAUGGAAUAGGACCUCGGUUCUAUUUUGUUGGUUUUCGGAACCCCGAGGUAAUGAUUAAUAGGGACAGAUGGGGGCAUUCGUAUUGCGACGUUAGAGGUGAAAUUCUUGGAUCGUCGCAAGACGGGCAGAAGCGAAAGCAUUUGCCAAAAAUGUUUUCAUUAAUCAAGAACGAAAGUUAGAGGUUCGAAGGCGAUCAGAUACCGCCCUAGUUCUAACCAUAAACGAUGCCAGCUAGCGAUCCGCCGAAGUUCCUCCGAUGACUCGGCGGGCAGCUUCCGGGAAACCAAAGCUUUUGGGUUCCGGGGGAAGUAUGGUUGCAAAGCUGAAACUUAAAGGAAUUGACGGAAGGGCACCACCAGGAGUGGAGCCUGCGGCUUAAUUUGACUCAACACGGGAAACCUCACCAGGCCCAGACACCGGAAGGAUUGACAGAUUGAUAGCUCUUUCUUGAUUCGGUGGGUGGUGGUGCAUGGCCGUUCUUAGUUGGUGGAGCGAUUUGUCUGGUUAAUUCCGAUAACGAACGAGACUCUAGCCUGCUAAAUAGGCGUACCUUAUGGUAUCGCGAAGGCCCCCGGCUUCGGCCGGUGGGUUUUUACUACCAACGUACAAACAAAUCUUCUUAGAGGGACAGGCGG